CCUCUAAACAAAACCCAUUUCUGCCAUUACAGGGAAGAGUUGACAUUAGUGAGUAGGCACAUCUAUUAGUUGAAGGAGAUCUAGGGCUUAUGAGGACAACGCCACCCUCUAGCUUCAUGAGCAGCCAUUUUUAGGAGUGUUGGGUGACCAAUCACUAUAUCACAGGUGUCAUAUUAGUCUAUAGACCAACACAACAGUGUCAAGGAGCACUAAAACAUUGGCAGCAAACUAGGGCAACGGUAGGUUAAUCACUUCGCCAGCACCAGACCAAAACCAGGGUAUCACGAAACUACUAGAAUAAGUCUACAGACAUCCGAAAAAACAGAUUUGGGUUCUUCCGUUCCCCAGAAAGGCAUCCUCCCUGCAUUACUAAACAUUUGAUCAGGAAGGAGUGACGCGAUUACACCCAGGUCUGGCUUGAUAGGUGACAACACCCUUUCCAAAAUGCACACUAACUAUUUGUUCAUUAAACUGAAGGAUUUCAUAGUCUUAUCAUUGCUGUUUAAAGCCAUACUUUGGCAACAGUUGAAGGAAAGCUUACGAAUCAGCGUAUCGCUCUACAUUGUCUUGUCGCUAUGCGUGGUUAGAAGAUAUCCCUCAAUUAUCCCAACAUAAGUGCAACACAAAGUAAUGCAGAUAUUUACACACUGGCUAGUUCCAACAAUUGGCAGAUGCAAUUCAACUGCAAAUAGAUUGAUUUGCGGAGCAAUUGAUCGUUUUUCAAAUUCAAUGUGCCACCAUCCCCUAAUCAUGAUUCUGCGUUAUUUCAAGUUUUGUCCUCUGUUUUCCUAGAUCUUCAUUGUCCUAGGAUAGAAAAAAGUCAUGAAUUUUACUCAUGAGAUGUUGGAGUUUAGUAAUGGUUCAGAACUAUUGUUGUAAGUUGAACUUGUAACCAUAUAGCUCUCCUCUAAUCUUGAAACUGGUUGAUAUAACUGCCAUAUUGUGGGUGUUCUCCUUUCAUUAUAUGGGAAAUUUUUCAUUUUGUUGUU
This is a long non-coding RNA of Cryptomeria japonica (Japanese cedar), 989 nucleotides long. RefSeq lists it as uncharacterized. NCBI's taxonomy places the organism in Eukaryota, Viridiplantae, Streptophyta, Pinopsida, Cupressales, Cupressaceae. The transcript is spliced from 3 exons. The record is from RefSeq and is a predicted model, not a curated record.